Molecule: ribosomal RNA, 305 nt
Filed under: uncultured bacterium
Lineage: Bacteria
Description: bacterial SSU rRNA
Rfam family: Bacterial small subunit ribosomal RNA
Source: RNAcentral
UAAUACGUAGGGGGCAAGCGUUGUCCGGAAUCAUUGGGCGUAAAGAGCGUGUAGGCGGUCCGAUUAGUCGGCUGUGAAAGUCCAGGGCUCAACCCUGGGAUGCCGGUCGAUACUGUCGGACUAGAGUCCGGAAGAGGCAAGUGGAAUUCCCGGUGUAGCGGUGAAAUGCGCAGAUAUCGGGAGGAACACCAAUGGCGAAGGCAGCUUGCUGGGACGGUACUGACGCUGAGACGCGAAAGCGUGGGGAGCAAACAGGAUUAGAUACCCUGGUAGUCCACGCCGUAAACGAUGGGCACUAGGUGUGG